GAUGAACGCUGGCGGCGUGCCUAAUACAUGCAAGUCGAGCGAACUUUUGGGAGCUUGCUCCCAAAAGUUAGCGGCGGACGGGUGAGUAACACGUGGGUAACCUGCCUGUAAGACUGGGAGAACUUCGGGAAACCGGAGCUAAUACCGGAUAACAUUGAAGACCACAUGGCCUGCAAUCAAAAGGUGGCUUUUAGCUACCACUUAAAGAUGGACCCGCGGCGCAUUAGCUAGGUGGGGAGGUAACGGCUCACCAAGGCGACGAUGCGUAGCCGACCUGAGAGGGUGAUCGGCCACACGGGGACUGAGACACGGCCCAGACUCCUACGGGAGGCAGCAGUAGGGAACCUUCCGCAAUAGACGAAAGUCUGACUGAGCCACGCCGCGUGAGCGAAGAAGGCCUUCGGGUCGUAAAGCUCUGUUGUUAGGGAAGAGCGAGGAUCGUUCGAAUAGGGCGGUACCUUGACGGUACCUAACCAGAAAGCCACGGCUAACUACGUG
Molecule: ribosomal RNA, 498 nt
Filed under: uncultured bacterium
Lineage: Bacteria
Description: partial 16S ribosomal RNA
Rfam family: Bacterial small subunit ribosomal RNA
Source: RNAcentral